Molecule: long non-coding RNA, 1544 nt
Filed under: Bemisia tabaci
Lineage: Eukaryota; Metazoa; Arthropoda; Insecta; Hemiptera; Aleyrodidae
Description: lncRNA ENSSWEETPG012908
Source: RNAcentral
AUGAAGAAUAAGAUUGCAACAGUUUAAAAGCUUCAGACAACAAGCCGCCUGCGAAGACUGCACUGCGCGGCGUCGGAUACACAUCAGCGUCAAUUCAAAAAACCCGCGCAAACCUCGCCGCCAUUGUUGUUUACAAAAAUCGAGCACCCCGAACGAGCACCAGCCACCUCCGAACCGCACCAAUCCGGUGCGUAUUCGGGGUGCCCUGUUGACGUUCGGGUCGUCAGUCGGAAAAACCCAGAUAGAAUAGGAAAUAGGCAAAGUCUCAAAAGUCGAGAGAGUGGGGCAGGAGCAUAGGGGCAGGAGGAGGAGCAGGGCAGGAGGGGUAGGGUAGCUGCUGAAACUGAAGUUACUAACUAACCCAAAAAACUCAUCUCAUAUCAGUUGCGUGAUGUUAUCAGUACAUUUAGUAGAUUUUGUUUUGGUGGCAUGUUGUUGUCCCUCCUCCUUAUCUAAAAUUUUUAUUUUUAAACCGAAGCCAAGUGCCAAAAUCAACUCCUGAAUUCUUACUUAUGUGGGUGAAAUGACUCUCUGAAACAUUUGUGAAGUUUCUUAAAUUAAAUAAUAAUGACUGCUCCAGAUCGUAGAAUUUCUGAGUACAUGCAAGUGUUCUGUUCAUGGAAAAGUGCCUCAAAAAGUAUAGCAGAUUGUAUCAAAAUUCAGAGGAAUAGUUCCAAAGUUUCUUUAGAUGAUGUCGUUGACUUUGAAAGAUGCAUACAAUUAUUUGCAAAUGAUGGUUCAGGAUUUGCACCUUGCACAAUCAAUUUUAAAUUGGAAAAUAAUGGAUGAUCACCAAAAUUGCCAUAGCUUCUGAGGCUAAAAUCUUUGAACUGUAUGGCUCCUGUGAGGAGUACAUAGGGACUCAUCAUGCUGAAUAUAUUGAUACUUUUGAAGAUAUGGAAGUAUUCUUAACUGAAAUGGAUGUUGCUCUAGCUAAUGAAUGUACAUUGAAGCUUGCCAAGACAAAAAAUAGAAACUGUAUGUGGGUAUAUGGAAUUUACAUCUCAGUUGCUGAGUUGAACCCCAGUUCAAUGAAACCAGGAUUGGACCUAAAUAAAGUAGAAGAACGUUUGAAAACGUCAAGCCAACCUUUGACAGACAAAGCAUUCAAAUGUAAAGAAUUUUUGAAGAUGUACAAUUCAAACUUGCCUAGUAUAUCGCACACGAAAGUUCCUGAUCCCAUACUCAUUUUAAAGAUGUUGGAAGGUGAAUUUCUGAGUUCCUUGCUCUCUCAGUCAGAUAGUUCCAAUGGAACUAGUCCAUUUCCCCUUAGCUCUCUUCUGUCUAAAGAUUCUCACCACACCGCCUCCUCCGAACGCAGAAACAGCCAUUCUUCUGCUCAAGAAAGUGGGCUUUGCUCUGAAAAUGAAUUUGCCAUGGUACAAACUGAGUUAAAGUAUUAUUUGGAUAAGAAAAUGAUGAUGCUCGAAAAUAAGUUGACAGCGAUGAUAAAUUGUAAACUCAAAUCAGUAGAGGAAAAAUAUUCAUCAAAAGUGGAUAAAAUUCUUGAUUUGCUAGAGAAAAUGAACUGUGUUCCUGAAUAA